GAUGUUCGGAGUGAUAAACACCGUAUCAAGACUGGAUCAUCUGGACCCUCCCAAACCACCGAAAUGCAUUACAAUGCGUUAUGUGUUCUCUGAGACACACUUUGAUCGAGGAAUAAAUGACUUUCUCUGCAAUUAUGUUAAUAAUUAUCUCGGUGGGAAGCAUGAAAAUGUUUUGGAUGAGCUGAUAGCCUCUCUGUGCACGUUUGGCAUCACAGCCCUCUGGCUGGGACCAAGCUGGGU
Molecule: long non-coding RNA, 240 nt
Organism: Carassius carassius (crucian carp)
Lineage: Eukaryota; Metazoa; Chordata; Actinopteri; Cypriniformes; Cyprinidae
Exons: 3
Source: RefSeq, a predicted model, not a curated record